Molecule: ribosomal RNA, 520 nt
Filed under: uncultured Glomus
Lineage: Eukaryota; Fungi; Glomeromycota; Glomeromycetes; Glomerales; Glomeraceae
Description: SSU rRNA
Rfam family: Eukaryotic small subunit ribosomal RNA
Source: RNAcentral
AGCAGCCGCGGUAAUUCCAGCUCCAAUAGCGUAUAUUAAAGUUGUUGCAGUUAAAAAGCUCGUAGUUGAAUUUCGGGGUUAGUAGGUUGGUCAUGCCUCUGGUAUGUACUGGUCUCACUGAUUCCUCCUUCCUUAUGAACCGUAAUGCCAUUAAUUUGGUGUUGCGGGGAAUUUGGACUGUUACUUUGAAAAAAUUAGAGUGUUUAAAGCAAGCUAACGCUUGAAUACAUUAGCAUGGAAUAAUGAAAUAGGACGUUCGAUCUUAUCUUGUUGGUUUCUAGGAUUGACGUAAUGAUUAAUAGGGAUAGUUGGGGGCAUUAGUAUUCAAUUGUCAGAGGUGAAAUUCUUGGAUUUAUUGAAGACUAACUACUGCGAAAGCAUUUGCCAAGGAUGUUUUCACUAAUCAAGAACGAAAGUUAGGGGAUCGAAGACGAUCAGAUACCGUCGUAGUCUUAACCAUAAACUAUGCCGACUAGGGAUCGGAUGAUGUUAAUUUUUAAUGACUCAUUCGGCGCCUUAA